CUUGCACAGAGGGUAGAGGGAUCUUUCGUACAAGCUCUCUGAGCAGUGGUUGAACAUUAACUAUGAAAGAGUUUAUCAUGCACCCCUGUGGCCCCACUGAGGCACCGAGGAGGAGAAGCUGCGCCCUGCGCUGCUUCCCAUUUCCCCAGGCAUACGGAUUGUACGAGGGCUCCCAGCCAAGGGGGGAGAAGUGAGGUGGUCACAGAGUUCUGCAGUUCGGAGGAGAGGAAGCACGUGGGGUACAUUCGUUUCCUUUCCAAGGAAAGUUGCUCAGAGCCUCCCCAGAGCAGUGCUGUGACAGGGAGAGGCUCAGAGCGAUGGCUUCAGGCAGCAUUUAUCAGAAGUGCGAAGAGUCCGACCGGGUGGAGCUCAGGGAACAAGAGGGAGAAAUGGCACGUGGAAGAGCAGGGAAGACUUUGCUGCAGUUCCCUACGGGUCUGAAGAGGGCGGCAAAGUCCAUAUUAACCCUUUACGCCCUGUAUGCCGUCUCGUUCGUGAUGUGGACCAUCUUACUCGCCGUGGUGAUUGCGAAGUACUCGGAGAUUUCCAAGGAGCUGGAGCAGAUGCGGAGGGAUCAAUCGGUGCUCAGAGCCCACGGCUCCGAGAUGGCGAAGCAACUGGAGAUGCUGUAUUUCAACCAAUCCACCCUCCACAGCACCGAGGUGGAGCUGGCCACCGAGCUGAAGCGGCUGGAGUCGGAUCAGGAGACGCUGAGAGGGGAAGUGUCCAGGGAUCUGGCCAAAGCGAAGCAGGACAGGGAUGACAUCAGGGCCGAGACCUACAAGAUCCUCUC
RNAcentral lists this long non-coding RNA (793 nucleotides) under Pelusios castaneus (West African mud turtle). RNAcentral's name for it is "lncRNA (ENSPCEG00000004496.1)". Lineage: Eukaryota; Metazoa; Chordata; Testudines; Pelomedusidae. The record is from RNAcentral.